RNAcentral lists this ribosomal RNA (1234 nucleotides) under uncultured crenarchaeote. RNAcentral's name for it is "bacterial SSU rRNA". It matches the Rfam family "Archaeal small subunit ribosomal RNA", at positions 56 to 1274 of the family's 1478-position model. The record is from RNAcentral. Lineage: Archaea; Thermoproteati; Thermoproteota.
CGUCCCCGAGCCAUGAUGGAGGCGCGGCACACAGCUCAUUAACACGUGGCUAACCUACCCUUGGGACAGGUACAACUCCGGGAAACUGGGGCUAAUCCCUGAUAGGUGAGGAACCCUGGAAAGGGUCUUCGCUCAAAGGGCGUUUAGGCCAUGCUUCUAGACGUUGCCCAAGGAUGGGGCCGCGGCCGAUCAGGUUGUUGGUGAGGUAAUGGCUCACCAAGCCUUUAACCGGUACGGGCCGUGAGAGCGGGAGCCCGGAGAUGGGUACUGAGACAAGGGCCCGGGCCCUACGGGGCGCAGCAGUCGCGAAAACUCCGCAAUGCGCGAAAGCGUGACGGGGUCAUCCCGAGUGCUGUCCGCUGAGGAUGGCUUUUCCCCAGCGUAUACAGCUGGGGGAAUAAGGAGAGGGCAAGUCUGGUGUCAGCCGCCGCGGUAAUACCAGCUCUCCGAGUGGUGGGGAUACUUAUCGGGCCUGAAGCAUCCGUAGCCGGCUGGACCAGUUCCCUUGUUAAUCCAGCGAUCAAUCGUUGGCCUGCGGGGGAUACUGCUCGGCUAGGGGGCGAGAGAGGCCGACGGUAUUCUCGGGGAUAGGGGUGAAAUCCUAUAAUCCCGGGAAGACCACCAGUGGCGAAGGCUGUCGGCUAGAACGCGCUCGACGGUGAAGGGAUGAAAGCUGGGGUAGCGAACCGGGAUUAGAUACCCGGGGUAGUCCCAGCCGUAAACGAUACAGGCUUAGGUGCUAGGGCGGCUACGCGCCGCUCUAGUGCCGCAGGGAAGCUGUUUAGCCUGUCGCCUGGGGAGUACGGCCGCAAGGCUGAAACUUAAAGGAAUUGGCGGGGGAGCACCACAAGGGGUGAAGCUUGCGGUUUAAUUGGAGUCAACGCCGGAAAUCUCACCGGGGGCGACAGCAGGAUGAAAGCCAGAUUAAAGGUCUUGCCAGACGAGCUGAGAGGAGGUGCAUGGCCGUCGCCAGUUCGUGCCGUGAGGUGUCCUGUUAAGUCAGGCAACGAUCGGGACCCGCAUCCCCCCGUUGCUAUUGGCCUUGAGUCAAGCACACUGGGGAGACCGCCGCCGAUAAGGUGGAGGAAGGAGCGGGCCACGGCAGGUCAGUAUGCCCCGAAUCUCCCGGGCCACACGCGAGCUGCAAUGGCAGGUACAAUGGGUUCCAACCUCGAAAGGGGAAGGCAAUCCCUAAAGCCUGCCGUAGUUGGGAUCGAGGGUUGAAACCCACCCU